UGGGGAAUAUUGUACAAUGGGCGAAAGCCUGAUCCAGCCAUGCCGCGUGAGUGAUGACGGCCUUAGGGUUGUAAAGCUCUUUCGCCGGUGAAGAUAAUGACGGUAACCGGUAAAGAAGCCCCGGCUAACUUCGUGCCAGGACCCGCGGAAAUACGAAAGGGGCUAGCGUUGUUCGGAAUUACUGGGCGUAAAGCGCACGUAGGCGGACCAUUAAGUCAGGGGUGAAAUCCCGGGGCUCAACCUCGGAAUUGCCUUUGAUACUGGUGGUCUUGAGUCCGAGAGAGGUGAGUGGAACUCCGAGUGUAGAGGUGAAAUUCGUAGAUAUUCGGAAGAACACCAGUGGCGAAGGCGGCUCACUGGCUCGGUACUGACGCUGAGGUGCGAAAGCGUGGGGAGCGAACAGGAUUAGAUACCCCCGUAGUCC
RNAcentral lists this ribosomal RNA (424 nucleotides) under uncultured prokaryote. RNAcentral describes it as "bacterial SSU rRNA". It matches the Rfam family "Bacterial small subunit ribosomal RNA", at positions 355 to 796 of the family's 1533-position model. The record is from RNAcentral.